CGAAAAUCCAAUGGGCACGAACUGUGCACAACUAAUUGCAGAUCUAUUUCUGUAUUUUUAGAAACCCAAUUCAUGUCUAAAAUAAAAAAAGACCUAUCUAAACAAUAUCUGAAACAACAAUUUAAUAACACGUUUAGAUAUUUGGAUGAUAUUUUCGCUUUCUUCUUCUUCUUUGGAACAGGAACACCUUUAAUAAUAUUAGAG
This 204-nucleotide long non-coding RNA is filed under the name Mytilus galloprovincialis (Mediterranean mussel). The record is from RNAcentral. Lineage: Eukaryota; Metazoa; Mollusca; Bivalvia; Mytilida; Mytilidae.